GGUGCGAGUGAUUGAUCGCCCUCUCCUCCCGCUCCGGUCCACUUCCCGGUUUGGCUCGGCGUCUGUGGUGUGUGUGGUUUUGAUCAUCAGACCAGGAUUGCGAUCUGGUGCUGAAUAAUCACCUGCAGUGUGGCUGAGGAUGACUGGAUGUCGUGGUGGACAGGUUGCUCUACAGGAGCCUUUCCUUGUGUUUGGCAUCUCGUGUCCUGAGUUCAUUGGAGCAGCAGGCCCUCACUCGGCUCUUCCUCCAGCCUUGGAUUCAGCUGGCGCUGUUUGUUCAGACUGCAACUUCAUGAACGAUUCAGGAUCGGAAAGAGGGGACAUAGUGACUCUGAUCCUUUGUACGAACUGUUAAUCCUCCUGAACGUGAGGAUAUUGUUCGCGCUGUUACUCCCCGAUCUGCCGGAGACGCAGGUGCGCGUCAGCAGCAGGGGCGUCUCAGCGCUCUGCGGACUCUGAAGCCCGGUCAUCUCUUAAUAGUGUAUUGCUUCAUGUUGGGUUGGUUGUUUGUUUCUUUUAUAUUGGUUUUGAGUUAUUCAUUUUCCUUUUCCUUAAUUCAGGUAUUUUUUGUUAACUGUUGUUUGUGGAUAUUUUGUUAUAUUCUUUAUUUGCAGGAGUGUGGUUAUUUUCAUUGCUUUGUUUGUUUUCUUGAUUGAUUUGUUUGGAUUUAUUUGAGUUGGUUUAGUUACCUUUUAUAAUUGCUUUUGUUUUGGGUUGUUUGUAUAUUAUAUUGUCUCUUAAAAAGAACCAUAUCUUAAAAUAAAUCGAGUUUUCAAAUUGUAA
Molecule: long non-coding RNA, 783 nt
Organism: Notolabrus celidotus (New Zealand spotty)
Lineage: Eukaryota; Metazoa; Chordata; Actinopteri; Labriformes; Labridae
Exons: 3
Source: RefSeq, a predicted model, not a curated record